UUGAAAUGUAUAUAAUCGAAUAAAAGUUAUUUCGAAUGAUGUCCAUGAAACGAUGAAACGAGAGAAUACUAUUUUUAAGUUUUUAUUUAGCAUAAAUUAUAGUCGAAUUAUUAUUAAAUUAUUGACUUCGAGUCUUCUUAUUUUCAACUCGUUCAAUCGCUACUCAUGACAACACCUUAUCUGUCACAUUUUUGGGAAGUAUGUGACGAUUAGAACAAAGUUUUGUCCUGAACUGGCUAAACUACUGAGUUCUGAUUCUCUCACUAGUUGUGAAUUUAUGAAAAAUCAAUUAGGUGUGGAAUUAGUAUUUUGUCAUUUUUUAAUUAUAUUGAAAUCGAUUGACGAGGUAAAAUUAUUUAUAACGAUAAUAUAAAAUUAUAUGUAUAAUGAAUUAUCAGCUACAAAUCCCUGAAUCAUACAAACAGUCAGUUACUGUUGCAGUGAGAGGAUUAGGAACUCAGAGUGAUAUAGUUAUUUGUACAAAUGAUAAAAAAAUAUUGACAUUCUUUAAGAGCUGUUUGAUUAAAAACUGUAUUGUAAAUAUAAUUGUUAAUAUCAUUGAACCAUUUAUUGUUUAUGAACCUAAAAUUGAAUAUUAUUACAUUUUGCAUGGAGAAAAUAAAGUUGUUAUUGUUAAAGAGGAAUCAGAGCUUAAGAUUGUUAAGACAUACAAUAAUGUAAAUCAAAUGAUUGUUUUUGAUAAAUUAAAAUCUGGUGUACCUCAGUUAUAUUUGAAAUUUGAUGGUGAUUUUGAAUGUAUAAAUGACUUUUAUGAAAAUAAUGAUACAAAAUAUGAACAACAAAGUAAAAAUCAAGAAAUAUCAAAUGUCUACUCAUUUUGUAUGAAUAAAUUGCAGAAGCUACAACUAUAUUCUGAAUUUGAAAGAACAAAAUUAUCUCAAAAGACAUCAUCUCUUUAUAAAACCGUAAAACAAUAUUUAACGGAAAGCAAUUUAUCAUUUGAUUUAGACAAGGAAUUAGAUUCUUCACUAGCUGUUAUUGUCAAAUAUCCUUGGCUUAAGUUAAAUAACGAAAAAUUAAUUUUCGGUUUUACUAUAGAAAAUAAAUCAAAAAUAGAAUUGUCAAACUUUAAUGUACUGUUGUUAAAAAAUGGAGAAGAAGUUUGGCCCAAUUUUUGGUAUAAAUGUUGGUCUAUAUUGCCAAAUAACAAUGUUUUGAAUUUCCACUCCGGAAACUCUAAUAACUUUUCAUUUGAAGGUAACAAUUUAUAUUUAAAACCAGAAACUUCAGUAAUUGUUACUUGUCUUAUUCAUGAAUGGGGUAAUGAAACACUUCCAUAUGUCAUUAACGUAAUGUUAAUUAAUGAUACAAAUCAAUUUGGUUUUAAAUAUAAGAAUGUUGAGAAAUAUCACAUUACAUCUACUUUAUUUAUGAGUAAAGAAUUUGGUAUUUUUUUUAACAAUAGUAUUCUUGUGGAAGAUCUUCUUGUUGUUCAUUAUACCAAAUUCCUAUCAAGUUAUGAAAUUAAAUGCUUGUUAAAUUUAAAGGAUAUUACCAAAAUAUUAAUUGAUAAUUUCAAAUUUAAUUGCAUUAAUGAGUGGUUUUUUCAAUGUUCACUUAAUUGUUUCAAAUCAAUUGUUAUCAAUUUACAACCAGUUUCACAAUAUGAAUAUAAAUUACUAUUAUUUUCUGAUUCAUUAGUCAGUAUAAAAAUGUUUAUACAGUUAUUAACAAAAUUCUUGCCAGAUCACACAAAUAUUACUAAAUUAAAUGGUAGAACACUUAUUACUUUAAAUAAAAACAUCUUAGUAUCAGAUUUAAAAGAACUAAGAAGUAUACUCAAAGAAUUUGUUGCUGAAGAAGUAAUUAUUCCUAGGGAGAAAUGGAAUGUCACGAGAUUAAAAUUGAAUACAUUUAGGACAACUACAUGACGUGAAUUAUUUUUAUGGAGAAGUUUAAUAGGAACAGGUUUAUCUUUACUAAAAAAUGAUUACCUGACAGUUCAAAUAUAUCUCCUUUAUGAUAUCGUGUAAUGGACACGGUGGCACAAACAACAUUGACUCCGGCCAACACGGCAAUCAAAAUUACCGAUAAGUAUGCACUUAACAUUUUUCUCUGUAUCCGUACCCAAUAUCUAUGAACAAUUUCAUAUCAUUUAAACCCGCCAUCACACGAAUAUCGUCGGCUGUCAUCCAAAUGACAGUCACAAGCUAAAAAACAAUAAAUUUUUAUUGAUAAAAUGUAAAUUCAUUUUUAUUUAAAUAUUUAAAUUAUGAUGUAAGUGUUAUUAAAUAUUUAUUUUAAAAAUAAAAGUUAAUUUGUUGAUAUAAUUAUUGAAAUUUGUUGGUAACAUAAUAAAAUGUGCUCAUUCGAGAAUC
Molecule: RNA transcript, 2339 nt
Organism: Daktulosphaira vitifoliae (grape phylloxera)
Lineage: Eukaryota; Metazoa; Arthropoda; Insecta; Hemiptera; Phylloxeridae
Exons: 12
Source: RefSeq, a predicted model, not a curated record